GCGGAAGUGGCGAAAUGGCAGACGCACCAGACUUAGGAUCUGGCGCCGCAAGGCGUGGAGGUUCAAGUCCUCUCUUCCGCACCA
RNAcentral lists this transfer RNA (84 nucleotides) under Helicobacter heilmannii. RNAcentral's name for it is "tRNA-Leu-TAG". It matches the Rfam family "tRNA". Rfam says of the family: Transfer RNA (tRNA) molecules are approximately 80 nucleotides in length. Their secondary structure includes four short double-helical elements and three loops (D, anti-codon, and T loops). Further hydrogen bonds mediate the characteristic L-shaped molecular structure. tRNAs have two regions of fundamental functional importance: the anti-codon, which is responsible for specific mRNA codon recognition, and the 3' end, to which the tRNAs corresponding amino acid is attached (by aminoacyl-tRNA synthetases). tRNAs cope with the degeneracy of the genetic code in two manners: having more than one tRNA (with a specific anti-codon) for a particular amino acid; and 'wobble' base-pairing, i.e. permitting non-standard base-pairing at the 3rd anti-codon position. RNAcentral also lists the same sequence under 3 other names. Lineage: Bacteria; Pseudomonadati; Campylobacterota; Epsilonproteobacteria; Campylobacterales; Helicobacteraceae. The record is from RNAcentral.